UUGGACCUACGGGGCGCAGCAGUGGGGAAUAUUGCACAAUGGGGGAAACCCUGAUGCAGCGACGCCGCGUGAGUGAAGAAGUAAUUCGUUACGUAAAGCUCUGUCAGCAGGGAAGAAAAUGACGGUACCUGACCAAGAAGCCCCGGCUAACUACGUGCCAGCAGCCGCGGUAAUACGUAGGGGGCAAGCGUUAUCCGGAUUUACUGGGUGUGAAGGGAGCGUAGACGGUGCGCCAAGUCUGGAGUGAAAUGCCGCAGCUUAACUGCGGAACUGCUUUGGAAACUGGCGCGCUCGAGUGCGGGAGG
Molecule: ribosomal RNA, 305 nt
Filed under: uncultured bacterium
Lineage: Bacteria
Description: bacterial SSU rRNA
Rfam family: Bacterial small subunit ribosomal RNA
Source: RNAcentral